CCUACGGGGGGCUGCAGUGGGGAAUAUUGGACAAUGGGCGAAAGCCUGAUCCAGCCAUGCCGCGUGUGUGAAGAAGGCCUUCGGGUUGUAAAGCACUUUCAGUGGGGAAGAAAGCCUUGGGGCUAAUACCCUCGAGGAAGGACAUCACCAACAGAAGAAGCACCGGCUAACUCCGUGCCAGCAGCCGCGGUAAUACGGAGGGUGCGAGCGUUAAUCGGAAUUACUGGGCGUAAAGCGCGCGUAGGCGGUCUGAUAAGCCGGUUGUGAAAGCCCCGGGCUCAACCUGGGAACGGCAUCCGGAACUGUCAGGCUAGAGUGCAGGAGAGGAAGGUAGAAUUCCCGGUGUAGCGGUGAAAUGCGUAGAGAUCGGGAGGAAUACCAGUGGCGAAGGCGGCCUUCUGGACUGACACUGACGCUGAGGUGCGAAAGCGUGGGUAGCAAACAGGAUUAGAUACCCGAGUAGUC
Molecule: ribosomal RNA, 465 nt
Filed under: Vreelandella stevensii
Lineage: Bacteria; Pseudomonadati; Pseudomonadota; Gammaproteobacteria; Oceanospirillales; Halomonadaceae
Description: partial 16S ribosomal RNA
Rfam family: Bacterial small subunit ribosomal RNA
Source: RNAcentral